UGAGGAAUAUUGCGCAAUGGGGGAAACCCUGACGCAGCAACGCCGCGUGAGUGAGGAAGGUUUUCGGACCGUAAAGCUCUGUCGAGCGGGAAGAAGUGCAUAUUGGCUAAUAUCCAUUAUGUUUGACGGUACCGCUAAAGGAAGCACCGGCUAACUCCGUGCCAGCAGCCGCGGUAAUACGGGGGGUGCAAGCGUUGUUCGGAAUCAUUGGGCGUAAAGAGCGUGUAGGCGGCUGGAUAAGUCAGAUGUGAAAGCCCUGGGCUUAACCUAGGAAGUGCAUUUGAAACUGUUCAGCUUGAGUAAGGGAGAGGAAAGUGGAAUUCCUGGUGUAGAGGUGAAAUUCGUAGAUAUCAGGAGGAACACCGGUGGCGAAGGCGACUUUCUGGCCCUAUACUGACGC
RNAcentral lists this ribosomal RNA (400 nucleotides) under uncultured bacterium. RNAcentral describes it as "bacterial SSU rRNA". It matches the Rfam family "Bacterial small subunit ribosomal RNA", at positions 355 to 746 of the family's 1533-position model. The record is from RNAcentral.